Molecule: long non-coding RNA, 1259 nt
Filed under: Dromaius novaehollandiae (emu)
Lineage: Eukaryota; Metazoa; Chordata; Aves; Casuariiformes; Dromaiidae
Description: lncRNA (ENSDNVG00000012674.1)
Source: RNAcentral
ACCUCCUCUCUCUUGCAGGGUCCGAGGGCAAGCCAUGCUUACGGGAAUGCACUGACCACAGCGCUGCUGCCUCYGAGUAUCACACCCAAAAAACCUUCCUCCCAUCCCUGAUUGCUGAGAAUGACUCCUUCUUCACCAGCAUGGCUGAAGAAAAGGAGGACUCAUCUUCCGUAGAGCUGGACGUCCCAACAGCAGAUUUGCACAGCAGCGUGGAGGAUCUCCUCUCAGACUCUGCUCUCCAUGGCACAGAGUAUUUCAGAGAUCUGGGGUUUCUGAGCCUGCCAACUACCAGCACAGCACCAGAGACUGCAUCACCGUCAGAACAAGCGCCCCAAGCUGUAUCUGCCUUUCGCUUAUUGGAAGAGAGACCGAGGGGGUUGAGCAAAAUGUCUGUGGAUGUUGCUUUUUCCAAUCCUGUCUCCUGCUCGGUGCGUUAUGGGGAGGCCGACUGCCACUUCCUGAACAGAGACUGCGUUUCCUCCCGCGCAGCAGUGCCACAAGAGGCAACUGGCACCUCUGAGUGUCCUGCAGAGGCAGGCAAAGCACUGGAGCUGCAGGAGGCCGAGGAGACCUUCCCCACGCUGGUGAGGUCCAUGUCUACCUCACGGAGACACAGCUGGGAGAGCCCCGUAUCACCCCUGGACUGCACGCGCAGGUUCAGCCUGGACGCCACAGAGAUGGGCAGUGACCCAGAGCAGGAGGACGUGGCGAAGGGGAGUCUGUCCUGCCCGCAGCCUCUCGUGUCCCUUCAGCUGCCCAGAGGGGAGCUGGAAGCCUGCAGCGGCAGCGGGGGCGGCACGGUGAUCAAAGUGGAGAUAGAGCCGCUGCGCCCGAACCUUGCGGUGGGCCCCAGCUUCGAGGAGGCGGAAUGUGGCAGCAAUGGGAAGAGACUGAGGUCAAGGUCUGUCCCAUCAGCCUGCGACAAGGUUGCCUCCCCUCAGAUACCUUGCAGUUUCAACACUCCUCUUCCAGCCAUGGAAGGUUGGUAUAUACUAAAUCUAUGGCAUUAAAUGAAUUCAAGCUUUUUGUGAUUAAGAAGAUACAAAACCRAAGAUGUAGCCUCUGAAAGCCUAGAUGUUCUCUGCCCCUCUCUUCUACAUGGUCCCAGGAGCUUCUGAAACAAAGUCAAGCUGACUUUGACUUUGUUCCAGGCUGAGUGUGUAGUCUAAGUGCAGACGUGCCUGUCUCCAGUGACACAUUGCCAUAUAACCUGUCUGUGGCUGGUGCAYUGGUCAUUCCCUACUUACAUAAGGCAAAGA